This 322-nucleotide ribosomal RNA is filed under the name uncultured Bacteroidota bacterium. Its description in RNAcentral is "bacterial SSU rRNA". It matches the Rfam family "Bacterial small subunit ribosomal RNA", at positions 28 to 351 of the family's 1533-position model. Lineage: Bacteria; Pseudomonadati; Bacteroidota. The record is from RNAcentral.
GAUGAACGCUAGCGGGAGGCUUAACACAUGCAAGUCGAGGGGUAAGAGGGUAGCAAUACGCUCUGAGACCGGCGCACGGGUGAGUAACGCGUAUGCAACCUGCCCUUUACAGGGGGAUAGCCCGGAGAAAUCCGGAUUAAUACCCCAUAGUUCUGCGACCCUGCAUGGGGAAUCAGGUAAAGCUGAGGCGGUAAAGGAUGGGCAUGCGUGACAUUAGCUAGUUGGCGGGUAACGCCCACCAAGGCUGCGAUGUCUAGGGGUUCUGAGAGGAAGGUCCCCCACACUGGUACUGAGACACGGACCAGACUCCUACGGGUGGCUG